RNAcentral lists this ribosomal RNA (497 nucleotides) under uncultured bacterium. RNAcentral describes it as "partial 16S ribosomal RNA". It matches the Rfam family "Bacterial small subunit ribosomal RNA", at positions 29 to 523 of the family's 1533-position model. The record is from RNAcentral.
AAUAAACGCUGGCGGCGUGCCUAACACAUGCAAGUCGAGCGAGAAAGCUCCUUCGGGAGUGAGUACAGCGGCGAACGGGUGAGCAACGCGUGGGAAUCUACCCUUCAGUGAAGAAUACCCUUGAGAAAUCGAGGUUAAUACUGCAUACGUCCUGUAAAGGAGAAAGAUGGCCUCUUUGCUGUCGUUGAAGGAUGAGCCUGCGUACUAUUAGCUAGUUGGUAGGGUAACGGCCUACCAAGGCGAUGAUGGUUAACCGGCCUGAGAGGGUGUACGGCCACACUGGAACUGAGACACGGUCCAGACUCCGACGGGAGGCAGCAGUAGGGAAUCUUCCGCAAUGGGCGAAAGCCUGACGGAGCAACGCCGCGUGAGUGAUGAAGGUCUUCGGAUCGUAAAACUCUGUUAUUAGGGAAGAACAAAUGUGUAAGUAACUAUGCACGUCUUGACGGUACCUAAUCAGAAAGCCACGGCUAACUACGUGCCAGCAGCCGCGGUAA